Molecule: long non-coding RNA, 1120 nt
Organism: Aegilops tauschii subsp. strangulata
Lineage: Eukaryota; Viridiplantae; Streptophyta; Magnoliopsida; Poales; Poaceae
Source: RefSeq, a predicted model, not a curated record
GUGUUGGCUCUUCUUCCAUCGUUGAUGAGGUUAUGUGAGGCACAGAUGAAGCAAACCAUUGAUUGCUACGUGCGUGAGGCAAGGCAGGAAAGAACAUGUCAUCUCAGGGAAUGGAAGGGAAGGGAAGGGAAGAAAAGAAGAAAUCCAAGAGGAGAGGAGAAGGAGGCGGACCUAACACGGGACAUGGAGAGGACAACGACGGUGACGCUUCUCCGGUGCUCCAGCGCAGGCGGUGUCCUCCCUCUGCUUCAGUCAGACGCACACCUCCUUCCUCCGCGACCAGACGCACCUCCUGCACCACAUCGUCCGUCGAAGCAGCGGCACCGAAGGCAAGCGCGCCAAGGACGACCACGAAGAUGAAGACGGCAGCAGCACGAUGUUAGCCAUGGAGGUGGGAUUAGAGGGCCACCGAGGAGCGCGUGGCGGCCAUGUGGCGCCGGGUGGAGGAGACGAAGCGCCGGCCCAAGCACUCCUCCUUCCUCCUCAAGGUCGUCGGCGACACCUCGAGGGCAGCUCGGGUAGCGGCCACGGACGAGGGCGCGCGGGCCGCGGCUGCUUCUCGACAGCAGGGAAGAAUAGAAACCCGCUGUAGCGGCCACUGACGAGGGCGCGCGGGACAACAGGCCGCGGCUGCUUGUCGACAGCAGCGAAGAAUAGAAGCCCGCUGCACCGCCGUCCUUCUCCCGCUGCUCCAGCACGGAUCGAGCACCACCGCCCACAGAUCGAGCCUUUGACCAAGAGCUAGCAGGCGGGUUGCUAGGGUUAGGGGUACAAAUCGGGGCGGUGAGGAGCAAGGCGGCGGUGAGGAGGACACUGACGAGAGGGAGAGGGAGGCGGCGAAGAGAUUGAGCGACUGGCCAGCGAGCGAGCGGGUGGGGAGAGAGCGAGUGGCUGUGCAAGAGGGAGGGCAAUUUGGGAAAACGAAGAUAACUUGUAACGUAACGGAAAAUGUACUAAAAUCCCCCAACAACAAAUAAAUCGGAACAAAGGGAGUACAAACAAAUGACUGGGCUGGGAGAUGAGAAUCAGAUGCAACGCCCAAGCAGGCACUAAUAUCCCUUCAACAGUAGGCAGACAACCCAAACCCACAACAGAGUUCAUACGUUCAUUGUGCUUUAUA